CGGACGUGCGGCGUGCUAUAAUGCAAGUCGUGCGGACCUUUUAAAAGCUUGCUUUUAAAAGGUUAGCGGCGGACGGGUGAGUAACACGUGGGCAACCUGCCUGUAAGACUGGGAUAACGCCGGGAAACCGGGGCUAAUACCGGAUAGUUUUUUCCUCCGCAUGGAGGAAAAAGGAAAGGCGGCUUCGGCUGCCACUUACAGAUGGGCCCGCGGCGCAUUAGCUAGUUGGCGGGGUAAUGGCCCACCAAGGCAACGAUGCGUAGCCGACCUGAGAGGGUGAUCGGCCACAUUGGGACUGAGACACGGCCCAAACUCCUACGGGAGGCAGCAGUAGGGAAUCUUCCGCAAUGGACGAAAGUCUGACGGAGCAACGCCGCGUGAGUGAAGAAGGCCUUCGGGUCGUAAAACUCUGUUGCCGGGGAAGAACAAGUGCCGUUCGAACAGGGCGGCGCCUUGACGGUACCCGGCCAGAAAGCCACGGCUAACUACGUGCCAGCAGCCGCGGUAAUACGUAGGUGGCAAGCGUUGUCCGGAAUUAUUGGGCGUAAAGCGCGCGCAGGCGGCUUCUUAAGUCUGAUGUGAAAUCUUGCGGCUCAACCGCAAGCGGUCAUUGGAAACUGGGAGGCUUGAGUGCAGAAGAGGAGAGUGGAAUUCCACGUGUAGCGGUGAAAUGCGUAGAGAUGUGGAGGAACACCAGUGGCGAAGGCGGCUCUCUGGUCUGUAACUGACGCUGAGGCGCGAAAGCGUGGGGAGCAAACAGGAUUAGAUACCCUGGUAGUCCACGCCGUAAACGAUGAGUGCUAAGUGUUAGAGGGUUUCCGCCCUUUAGUGCUGCAGCUAACGCAUUAAGCACUCCGCCUGGGGAGUACGGGCCGCAAGGCUGAAACUCAAAGGAAUUGACGGGGGCCCGCACAAGCGGUGGAGCAUGUGGUUUAAUUCGAAGCAACGCGAAGAACCUUACCAGGUCUUGACAUCCUCUGACCUCCCUGGAGACAGGGCCUUCCCCUUCGGGGGACAGAGUGACAGGUGGUGCAUGGUUGUCGUCAGCUCGUGUCGUGAGAUGUGGGUUAAGUCCCGCAACGAGCGCAACCCUUGACCUUAGUUGCCAGCAUUGAGUUGGCACUCUAAGGUGACUGCCGGGUGACAAA
RNAcentral lists this ribosomal RNA (1148 nucleotides) under Heyndrickxia coagulans. RNAcentral describes it as "bacterial SSU rRNA". It matches the Rfam family "Bacterial small subunit ribosomal RNA", at positions 30 to 1162 of the family's 1533-position model. Lineage: Bacteria; Bacillati; Bacillota; Bacilli; Caryophanales; Bacillaceae. The record is from RNAcentral.